Molecule: ribosomal RNA, 432 nt
Filed under: uncultured bacterium
Lineage: Bacteria
Description: partial 16S ribosomal RNA
Rfam family: Bacterial small subunit ribosomal RNA
Source: RNAcentral
AACGAACGCUGGCGGCAGGCCUAACACAUGCAAGUCGAGCGAGGACUUCGGUCCUAGCGGCGGACGGGUGAGUAACGCGUGGGAACGUGCCCUUUGCUUCGGAAUAGCCCUGGGAAACUGGGAGUAAUACCGGCUGAGCCCUUUGGGGGAAAGAUUUAUCGGCGAAGGAUCGGCCCGCGUUGGAUUAGGUAGUUGGUGGGGUAAUGGCCUACCAAGCCGACGAUCCAUAGCUGGUUUGAGAGGAUGAUCAGCCACACUGGGACUGGGACACGGCCCAGACUCCUACGGGAGGCAGCAGUGGGGAAUCUUAGACAAUGGGGGAAACCCUGAUCUAGCCAUGCCGCGUGAGCGAUGAAGGCCUUAGGGUUGUAAAGCUCUUUCAGCUGGGAAGAUAAUGACGGUACCAGCAGAAGAAGCCCCGGCUAACUCCGU